AACAUUAACACCCAGCAACCAGGAGAGGAGAGAGGCCUGGGGAAGACAGCCACCACCAAGUACACAAAGGUUGAAAGAGGACGUUUGUGGGAAGUAGACAUUUGUGAAUGUGGAUUUAGAAGAUUUUUCCCUGUGAUGAGCUGAGUCAUGGGUGAGAGCUGGAGAAAACAGAGCAACACAGGCAGCCCAGGGGCUGAGCAGGUCCUCCUACCUGAUCCAUCGCUCUGUCUGCAAGCUCUCCUGUCACAAGUGAGUGGCUGACAGCCUCCAGAAAACACCAGUCAGUUACACUGUGAUGUGCAGUCUGGCCAGGGCUCAGUGGAGAAGCCCACACUCAUUUAUCCAUCACUGAAUGUUGGUUGUGCCUCAGGAAACAGUCUGGUUGCCAGAUACAGACUGGCCAAGAAAAUGGACGUGAUUAGUCCUCUUUUGGUCCGUAUAAUGUGAAGACGGUCAUGUGAGCUAAUGUGUGCUGAGCAAAGGGAGGAUUUGGAUUCUUUUGCUUUAUCGGUCAAUCCUCUUCUCCCAUCAAAUCAAUGUGGAAAUCAACAGAGUCCCAAUGGCCUUCUUUGGUAAAGCCCUUGAUAGUUCUAUUUUUUAAGCAGUUUAAUAAAGAUCACAAUGAAUGAGAUUGCAGGUAAUUAAUGAUUUAGUGAACUGUUUGCAGUACUAUUGAACAUGAGCUGCAGAAAUUAUGAAAUGGUAGGUUGGUCCUUCCCUACCUCUCUCCAACACCCCCGUCCCAUCACCUGAAAACCCUCACUCUGCUGUCUGUGAGCCAGUACGAGAGUUUGAGAGAUAGAUUUUCAGAGCCUCAUUUUCUGCCCUUUGAAUGGCGAAAAAGCAUUUUCUUUAAAUUGAAUACUUGCAAGCCUCAUCUCAUUGAAGUUUUUGGAUGAGAAGCUCCGGUUAAGCUUAAAUUAUUAUGGCCUUCACAUUGUUUCCUAAACCAACUGCUUUAACUCAGGGUGGAAAAUGCAUCUACAUUUCUUUUUCUUUCUUUCCAUUUCUAAUUAGAUUUUGAGUUUAAUAAUGAAUUAAGUUUAAUAGGUCCUGAGCCCUAGAGGCAGCCUUUUUGAAUUUCGCUUACUUUUGUUUGAACUGGAGUAGCCAUGCAUCACCAGGAGUAAACGAAUUCAUCUGUAUUGUGAAUUGUAUUAAUAAAAAACCAUGGAAAUGGUAGAAUUUUAAUGAUUAGAUUACUAUUAUCUAGAAAUAUUAUAACUUUAAUGAUUGUGUUAUUUUAUUUAUCUUAAAGUCUCAAAUCAUCAUUUUCUUUUAAAUUAAUGCACCAGACCAAAACAAUGUGAUGAAUCAGGGAAUAUUUGAUAUUUUAAGGACCAUCCACAUUUUACACUUUAACUAGAAAAAGCUUUCUGUAAAUCUUCACCCACACACUUUUCUUUGAACUUACCAGCUAUGAAUUUAUAAUUGCGGAGAAGCAUGUAUAUGUAUCUAAAAUGGCAGUUGGGGUGGAAUAAUUUGUAUUUGAUUUUGAUUAAUUUCAAUUGGACACCAGUAUUUUUGCUUAUAUAGGAAAUUACUUUCUUGGCCAUGAAGAUUUUGCACAUCUCUCUAAUUGGAGUCCCUUAACCCUUCCUCUGAAAUGGCACAGGGCUUUACUUUUACAUAUUCGGUGUAUCUUAUGUGCUUGAAGAGCAGCUUUCUAUCCUGACAGCAGCGUGGGAGCUAGAGUCCAAGGAAACUGGUUUGAAUUCCAACUGCGCUCAUUUUAGAUCUGCAUACUUGAGCAAGUGCUUAAAUUUCCUGGGUCUCAGUUUCCUGAUCUGUGAAACAGGGAUGCUAAUUUAUAGGAGGGUUGGUGUGCAAAUGAGAGACAAGCUGAUAAAACACGGAGUUCGCUUCCUGCCCACAGUGGUCAGGCAAUUAUUUUGCCGAUGCGUCUGCCUCUGUCACUAGACAGGUGCUGAUCAGGGUAAAGGCUAUUUCUGUCUCGUUCACUUUUCUGUCCUCAUUCCUUAGCACAGUGUUUUACUUACAGAAGAGAUCAGUUCAUGUUUCUUGAUUGAGAAAAUUAAAUAAAGCCCAUCAUAAACUCUAACAAGAAAAUCCAAAAAGGUGUGAAAUUCCUACUUUCUUGCCCUACACCAAUUUCUUUCUAUAUGUGAUGCUAGUUUGUAAAUAGAUGAAGGCACUUACAUUACACAUUAGCUAAGGUCUUAUCUAGAGGGUAAAAUAAUUUUCACAUCUCAAGUAAACAGAGAGAGUUGAAAUGGCCACAAAGAAUUUGUUGUGCAUUCUAUGUUGUUUCCUAUAUCCAUAAUUCUCAUUGUGUCAACACAGUGGUUCAAAAGAGCUUGUCAAUAAGCUUAGUAAAUACUCCACAUAAGUUACAAUUCAGAUAACAAAAAGUUUGAUGUAAAGGUGCUAUUUUUUCAUUUCUCAUGAGUAGUCAUUGUGAGAGAUUGUGUCUUCUGUUUAAAAUGUAAGACUUAUUUUCUAAUACCAUGCCUGUAUGAAUUUAAUAAGUACAAUUAUUUCUCCCAUGCCGGUUCUUGGAUUCAAACAUCAUAGAACAUGACUAAUUAAUGAAGUAAUGUAAUUGGCUACAUGUUUUAAUUAAGAAGCUUGGGGCACAUGCACUUUGCUUUUUUUCCCCCAUCUAUAGUUUAUAUAUUUUUUCCUUUGGAGAUGUAUGAUAAGGAUGAGAGUUGCCUGUCAGAAUGAGAGUUGGAGAACUUCUGCUUACAGAAGUCAAUAUUAAGUGUCUACUAAAAUCGACUAGAUCUCUACCAGACAAAGCUUCAGAAUAAAAUAAGUGAUAAUAACUACAAAAGCUGGACAUGAACAAAAGCCGCAACCAGGAUGCCCUGGAGGGUGAAGAGAAGCAGACAAAUCCCCAGGGGAGAGCAGGCUUGCUCAGAGAAGGGGAGGUAGAAACUCCUUAAGUUAUGUGGGAGGGUGGCAGGGGGGCUGAGGCUGGAAAAUUACCUGUUGGGUGCAAUGUUCACUAUUGGGGUGAUGAGUACUCUCCAAGCUCAGACUUCAAUAUAUCCGUGUAACAAAACUGAACUUGGACAUAUUUCCUAAAUCUAUACAAUUUUUUUGAAAAAGAAACUCCCUAGGUAAUUUUUCUUUGGGGGUUGUGGGGCACAUGUGAAAAAAAUCUAGCAUCUUUCUGCUAGAUAAAUAAGAAACCAGAAAAGAGCUAUUGAAGAAACUAGGAAAUUCUCAAAGGAAACAACCCAAGAAUGGAUGUCCAAAAUCAACGUACCCACAGCUCUGACUGACCCCCGAAACAUGCAUAGGAAGAAUAAACUCAAAGUAUAUCAGCUAAGGACAAAAUAUCUGGACUGAGACCAGAACUGCUGCCCAAGAAACUGAGUUUUCAGUUCAUACCAGCUAACAAAAUUUUAUAUAAUUACUGAAAUAUAUAAAUCCACAUACCAAAACUGUAGAUGCUUUUGUAUGUAACUAUUACAUGUAUACAAAAAGAAAUAAUGAAGGUAUGAGGAUCAUUUAAGUUAUAAUACUAAUUUAAGUAUAAUUGUAAAAGCCGUAUCAUUUUGUCUUUUUAGAUUUUCAUUGCUAGUUGUUGGUAGAUUUAAAAUUUGUGAAACCAUCUUUAUUUCUCUCUGUAUAUGUAUUUUUUGAUUUAUUUAUGAUUAGCAUAAUUGUAAAAAACAUUUAAGCUUUGCUCACUCUCUUAGAUUUUGAAGAGCGCUUCAGUAUUUUGUAUUGGCAUAUCCAAUCAUUUACUUCAUCACUUAAUAAAUUAAACCUUUCCUGAGAUAGAUAUACAUCUGCUGGAAAUGGG
This 3778-nucleotide long non-coding RNA is filed under the name Homo sapiens (human). RNAcentral's name for it is "HSALNT0375157". Lineage: Eukaryota; Metazoa; Chordata; Mammalia; Primates; Hominidae. The record is from RNAcentral.